GAAUUCACUAGUGAUUCAGGCCUAACACAUGCAAGUCGAACGGCAGCACGGAGCUUGCUCUGGUGGCGAGUGGCGAACGGGUGAGUAAUAUAUCGGAACGUACCCUAGAGUGGGGGAUAACGUAGCGAAAGUUACGCUAAUACCGCAUACGAUCUACGGAUGAAAGUGGGGGAUCGCAAGACCUCAUGCUCGUGGAGCGGCCGAUAUCUGAUUAGCUAGUUGGUAGGGUAAAAGCCUACCAAGGCAUCGAUCAGUAGCUGGUCUGAGAGGACGACCAGCCACACUGGAACUGAGACACGGUCCAGACUCCUACGGGAGGCAGCAGUGGGGAAUUUUGGACAAUGGGCGAAAGCCUGAUCCAGCAAUGCCGCGUGAGUGAAGAAGGCCUUCGGGUUUAAAGCUAAUGGUCAGGGAAGAAACGGUGAGGGCUAAUAUCUCUG
This 440-nucleotide ribosomal RNA is filed under the name uncultured bacterium. RNAcentral's name for it is "bacterial SSU rRNA". It matches the Rfam family "Bacterial small subunit ribosomal RNA", at positions 34 to 471 of the family's 1533-position model. The record is from RNAcentral.